GAAUUUCAUCUUUUUGUUCCCACCACUUGUAGACUCUUUAACAAACUUCCUCUUCUUUGUAUCAUCUGCUGACUUACCCUUUGUUGAUUUUUGAUAUCCAGAGUGCCUAGCUUUCUUAGUUCCUUUAGGUCCAUAGCCACCACUGCUCGGUAUACGUGGCUCCCUCAUGGUACGAGGGUUAUCGUUUUCCUUAUUUUUUCUCUUUCUCUUCCUAUGCUGCACUGAACCAUUUUCCUCCGCCACAGAACCUGAUUCUUUUUUCUUCUGCUUAUUCAUCCUAGAAUGACAAAAAUGCAACAGAAAUUAGAACACUUGUGAGGGC
Molecule: long non-coding RNA, 322 nt
Filed under: Manihot esculenta (cassava)
Lineage: Eukaryota; Viridiplantae; Streptophyta; Magnoliopsida; Malpighiales; Euphorbiaceae
Description: long non-coding RNA (MESC_LNC005165)
Source: RNAcentral